RNAcentral lists this ribosomal RNA (1552 nucleotides) under Enterobacter hormaechei. RNAcentral describes it as "bacterial SSU rRNA". It matches the Rfam family "Bacterial small subunit ribosomal RNA". Lineage: Bacteria; Pseudomonadati; Pseudomonadota; Gammaproteobacteria; Enterobacterales; Enterobacteriaceae. The record is from RNAcentral.
AAAUUGAAGAGUUUGAUCAUGGCUCAGAUUGAACGCUGGCGGCAGGCCUAACACAUGCAAGUCGAACGGUAACAGGAAGCAGCUUGCUGCUUUGCUGACGAGUGGCGGACGGGUGAGUAAUGUCUGGGAAACUGCCUGAUGGAGGGGGAUAACUACUGGAAACGGUAGCUAAUACCGCAUAACGUCGCAAGACCAAAGAGGGGGACCUUCGGGCCUCUUGCCAUCGGAUGUGCCCAGAUGGGAUUAGCUAGUAGGUGGGGUAACGGCUCACCUAGGCGACGAUCCCUAGCUGGUCUGAGAGGAUGACCAGCCACACUGGAACUGAGACACGGUCCAGACUCCUACGGGAGGCAGCAGUGGGGAAUAUUGCACAAUGGGCGCAAGCCUGAUGCAGCCAUGCCGCGUGUAUGAAGAAGGCCUUCGGGUUGUAAAGUACUUUCAGCGGGGAGGAAGGCGAUAAGGUUAAUAACCUUAUCGAUUGACGUUACCCGCAGAAGAAGCACCGGCUAACUCCGUGCCAGCAGCCGCGGUAAUACGGAGGGUGCAAGCGUUAAUCGGAAUUACUGGGCGUAAAGCGCACGCAGGCGGUCUGUCAAGUCGGAUGUGAAAUCCCCGGGCUCAACCUGGGAACUGCAUUCGAAACUGGCAGGCUAGAGUCUUGUAGAGGGGGGUAGAAUUCCAGGUGUAGCGGUGAAAUGCGUAGAGAUCUGGAGGAAUACCGGUGGCGAAGGCGGCCCCCUGGACAAAGACUGACGCUCAGGUGCGAAAGCGUGGGGAGCAAACAGGAUUAGAUACCCUGGUAGUCCACGCCGUAAACGAUGUCGACUUGGAGGUUGUGCCCUUGAGGCGUGGCUUCCGGAGCUAACGCGUUAAGUCGACCGCCUGGGGAGUACGGCCGCAAGGUUAAAACUCAAAUGAAUUGACGGGGGCCCGCACAAGCGGUGGAGCAUGUGGUUUAAUUCGAUGCAACGCGAAGAACCUUACCUACUCUUGACAUCCAGAGAACUUAGCAGAGAUGCUUUGGUGCCUUCGGGAACUCUGAGACAGGUGCUGCAUGGCUGUCGUCAGCUCGUGUUGUGAAAUGUUGGGUUAAGUCCCGCAACGAGCGCAACCCUUAUCCUUUGUUGCCAGCGGUUAGGCCGGGAACUCAAAGGAGACUGCCAGUGAUAAACUGGAGGAAGGUGGGGAUGACGUCAAGUCAUCAUGGCCCUUACGAGUAGGGCUACACACGUGCUACAAUGGCGCAUACAAAGAGAAGCGACCUCGCGAGAGCAAGCGGACCUCAUAAAGUGCGUCGUAGUCCGGAUUGGAGUCUGCAACUCGACUCCAUGAAGUCGGAAUCGCUAGUAAUCGUGGAUCAGAAUGCCACGGUGAAUACGUUCCCGGGCCUUGUACACACCGCCCGUCACACCAUGGGAGUGGGUUGCAAAAGAAGUAGGUAGCUUAACCUUCGGGAGGGCGCUUACCACUUUGUGAUUCAUGACUGGGGUGAAGUCGUAACAAGGUAACCGUAGGGGAACCUGCGGUUGGAUCACCUCCUUACCUUAAAGAA